Non-coding RNA from Picea glauca (white spruce), 73 nucleotides. The record is from Rfam. Lineage: Eukaryota; Viridiplantae; Streptophyta; Pinopsida; Pinales; Pinaceae.
ACCCCUAUCAUCUAGUGGAUUAGGACAUCUCUUUUUCAAGGAGGCAACAUGGAUUCGACUUCCCCUAGGGGUA